AUAGAAUCUGUAAAAC
RNAcentral lists this small RNA (16 nucleotides) under Arabidopsis thaliana (thale cress). RNAcentral describes it as "ATSL308520". Lineage: Eukaryota; Viridiplantae; Streptophyta; Magnoliopsida; Brassicales; Brassicaceae. The record is from RNAcentral.